Molecule: long non-coding RNA, 775 nt
Filed under: Fukomys damarensis (Damara mole-rat)
Lineage: Eukaryota; Metazoa; Chordata; Mammalia; Rodentia; Bathyergidae
Description: lncRNA (ENSFDAG00000027596.1)
Source: RNAcentral
CUCCUUUGUCCUGUUUUUCUGGUCCAUGAUUAAUAGCGGACAGUCUUUCAAGAGCAAGCAUUCUCCUGAGGUCUGGGAGGGGAGGCGAGGAGAAAGUCCAGGGCCUGAGAGCACAGGGUCAGGGAAACUGCGGUGGCCCGAGGCUGGUUUUCUAGUCAGGGCUCCCCGGGGAGGCAAGACAAGGAGGCGGGGUCCAGCCUUGGCGGACAGGAUUGUUAGCUUCCUCCUGGAUUUGGAGGGUCCGGCUGCCUGCAGGUUUGUUGCUGUGAUUGCGCCUGUCCGUUAGCCUUAGCACGGCCCUGAGAGCUGCAGGUACUGACAGUGAGGUGAGCUGACCACCAGACCAAGCUCGGACUAACUGUGAAGCUCCUGCAUCCUGCUUUUGCCCAGGACCUGGGAGCACUUUGAGCUGCUGAGAGUUUGAAGGUGUUUGGGAUGGUAAGGUAAGACAGGAUACGACCUGGAAAUUGCCUAAAGAUUUAUUAGAAGAAAGGGACUUAAAUUCCUAAGCCUUCUUUAAUUUCCUGGGCUUUAAAAAAAUCUCAUUCUAAGACACCUUCACUUACGUGGAAUUUGUGUUUUUAAUUUAUACUCUUUUUAACAAAAAUGAUCUCUCUCUCUCUCUCUCAGGUUAAUAUUAACAGAAUCUUAACCCAUCCUUGACUGCAACAAGGAAAUGCAAAGUGUGUAACCGGUGAAACCCACUGCAGGCGUGUCUGGCUCCCGCCGUGAUGGUGCAGGGUGGGUGACCAGUAGGUGAGAAAGCCUUACCCCA